RNAcentral lists this ribosomal RNA (577 nucleotides) under Russula sp. Its description in RNAcentral is "partial small subunit ribosomal RNA". It matches the Rfam family "Bacterial small subunit ribosomal RNA", at positions 348 to 965 of the family's 1533-position model. Lineage: Eukaryota; Fungi; Basidiomycota; Agaricomycetes; Russulales; Russulaceae. The record is from RNAcentral.
CCCGCAGUCAAGAAUAUUAGUCAAUGCUCGAAAGAUGACUAGCUACUGAAUCAAUUAAAAUAAUAAUUGAUAACAUAAGGGAAAAUAAUGAUAUUACCUUAUUAUUAGUGUCGUCCAAAACUCGGUGCCAGAAGACUCGGUAAGGCCAGAGACAUAAACGUUAAUCGUCUUAAUCAGGCGUAAAGGGUUUGUAGGCGGCUUUAAAAUUUAUUUAUAACAAAAAAAAAAAAAAUAAUAAGUAAAAAAUAAAAGCUAGAAUCAAAUAGAGGAUAAAUGAAAGAAUGCUUARAGUAGGUCUGAUAUCCUUARAUACUAAGUARAAUAUUAAAGGCGAAAGCUUUUUUCCAUUAAUGAUUGACGCUCARAAACGAAGGUGAGGAUAGGAAAUAGGAUUAGAUACCCARAAUACCCCUCUCUGUCAACGAUGAAUGGUAGUUAUUAGUAAAAAUUUUUUAUUAAUGGCAAUGUUAACACGAUAACCAUUCCGCCUUGUGAGUACAAUUGCAAAGUUGAAAACAAAAAAAUUAGUCGUUUCGGAGCAAACGAAGUGAACAUGUUAUUUAUUCAAAAACCCGAA